Myotis brandtii (Brandt's bat) is the source of this 234-nucleotide long non-coding RNA. RefSeq lists it as uncharacterized. The record is from RefSeq and is a predicted model, not a curated record. NCBI's taxonomy places the organism in Eukaryota, Metazoa, Chordata, Mammalia, Chiroptera, Vespertilionidae. The transcript has 3 exons.
UGGUCUUUUGGGGAUCCUGAAAUCUGGGCAUAACAGUGAGGUGAUCUCCUGACUUUAAAUUUAAACAUCACAGGGCGAGAUUGGCUCUAAGAUAAGAAACAGAAUAAAUUCUCUCCUCAGGGCGGCACUGAGGCUCUGACAGGAACAGAGAUCAUGGCGACUAAAAGGGAACAGAUGAUCCAGUGGAAAGUGCACUGUGACAUGUCCAUGGAGAAGAUGGGGAACAAUGUGGUC